RNAcentral lists this ribosomal RNA (497 nucleotides) under uncultured bacterium. RNAcentral describes it as "partial 16S ribosomal RNA". It matches the Rfam family "Bacterial small subunit ribosomal RNA", at positions 28 to 507 of the family's 1533-position model. The record is from RNAcentral.
GAUGAACGCUGGCGGCGUGCCUAAUACAUGCAAGUCGAGCGAACAGACGAGGAGCUUGCUCCUCUGACGUUAGCGGCGGACGGGUGAGUAACACGUGGAUAACCUACCUAUAAGACUGGGAUAACUUCGGGAAACCGGAGCUAAUACCGGAUAAUAUAUUGAACCGCAUGGUUCAAUAGUGAAAGACGGUUUUGCUGUCACUUAUAGAUGUAUCCGCGCCGCAUUAGCUAGUUGGUAAGGUAACGGCUUACCAAGGCAACGAUGCGUAGCCGACCUGAGAGGGUGAUCGGCCACACUGGAACUAGAACACGGUCCAGACUCCUACGGGAGGCAGCAGUAGGGAAUCUUCCGCAAUGGGCGAAAGCCUGACGGAGCAACGCCGCGUGAGUGAUGAAGGUCUUCGGAUCGUAAAACUCUGUUAUUAGGGAAAAACAAAUGUGUAAGUAACUGUGCACGUCUUGACGGUACCUAAUCAGAAAGCCACGGCUAACUACGUG